UCUUCCGUAGUAUAGUGGUCAGUAUGUGAGCUUGUCAUCAAACCGCCCCUGGUUCCGAUUCGCUCGAGACCCGGGUUCAAUUCCCGGCGGGAGAG
This is a non-coding RNA of Rhypophila decipiens, 95 nucleotides long. The record is from the annotation of a GenBank genome assembly. Lineage: Eukaryota; Fungi; Ascomycota; Sordariomycetes; Sordariales; Naviculisporaceae.